GUACUCACUUCAGCAACACAUACACUAAAAUUGGAAGGAUACAGAGAUUAGCAUGGCCUCUGCAUAAGGAUGACACGUGAAUUCAUGAACCAUUCCACAUUUUU
Molecule: small nuclear RNA, 104 nt
Organism: Leptonychotes weddellii (Weddell seal)
Lineage: Eukaryota; Metazoa; Chordata; Mammalia; Carnivora; Phocidae
Source: RefSeq, a predicted model, not a curated record